ACAUGCAAGUCGAGCGAGAAAGGUCUUCGGACUGAGUAGAGCGGCGGACGGGUGAGUAACACGUAGGAAUUUGCCCAGUAGUGGGGGACAACUCGGGGAAACUCGAGCUAAUACCGCAUACGCCUUACGGGGGAAAGCAGGGGAUCUUCGGACCUUGCGCUAUUGGAUAAGCCUGCGUCGGAUUAGCUAGUAGGUGGGGUAAUGGCCCACCUAGGCGACGAUCCGUAGCUGGUC
This 234-nucleotide ribosomal RNA is filed under the name Porticoccaceae bacterium. RNAcentral describes it as "partial 16S ribosomal RNA". It matches the Rfam family "Bacterial small subunit ribosomal RNA", at positions 53 to 292 of the family's 1533-position model. The record is from RNAcentral. Lineage: Bacteria; Pseudomonadati; Pseudomonadota; Gammaproteobacteria; Cellvibrionales; Porticoccaceae.